GAUCGCUGUGAUGCGGGCGGUUCGCCGCUCGUGACUCUGCGAGAAGUCCAUUGAACCUUAUCAUUUAGAGGAAGGAGAAGUCGUAACAAGGUUUCCGUAGGUGAACCUGCGGAAGGAUCAUUGUCGAGACCAAAGUAUAUCGAGCGAUCCGGCGAAUCUGUCAGAAAAAGAAGCAUUUAUUGUUUCUAUCAAACAAGCUAUCCCUUUCAUUUCGUAAAACCCAUUUUGGGUGAUGAUGUGAUGAGGGAUGGAUGAACACUCAAACUAGCGCAACAUCGCGCCAAGGGAUUAUUGAAACACGAGCCCAUAAAUGGGCUUGGUGGCAUGUAGUGCUGUUGCACUUCAUAUGAAUUGACACGACUCUCGGCAAUGGAUAUCUCGGCUCUUGCAUCGAUGAAGAGCGCAGCGAAAUGCGAUACGUGGUGCGAAUUGCAGAAUCCCGUGAACCAUCGAGUCUUUGAACGCAAGUUGCGCCCGAGGCCAAUCGGCUAAGGGCACGCCUGCCUGGGCGUCAAGUGUUAUGUCACUCCAUGUCAUUUGUGUCCCAUUAUUGGGAGAAUUAUCAAUGGCAUGGAUGUGUAGAGUGGCUCGUCGUGCCCAUUGGUGCGGCGGGUUGAAGAGCCGGACAUAUUCUCAAGGGUGCGAGCAAUAAGGGGUGGAUUUUUUUGAGGCCUGUUUUAUUGUAUCGUGUAUGCUCGGGAGAAUAUUAUCCUAAUCAAGCCGAUCCCAAUUUAUGCGUCGAUCCAUGGAUGACGUUUGGAAUGCGACCCCAGGAUGGGCGAGGCCACCCGCUGAGUUUAAGCAUAUCAAUAAGCGGAGGAGAAGAAACUUACGAGGAUUCCCUUAGAGGAUUCCCUUA
This 859-nucleotide ribosomal RNA is filed under the name Dendrobium gregulus. RNAcentral's name for it is "eukaryotic LSU rRNA". The stretch from base 359 to 514 matches the Rfam family "5.8S ribosomal RNA". The record is from RNAcentral. Lineage: Eukaryota; Viridiplantae; Streptophyta; Magnoliopsida; Asparagales; Orchidaceae.